UAGUCUUUAGGAACUACACAUGUGUC
RNAcentral lists this non-coding RNA (26 nucleotides) under Rattus norvegicus (Norway rat). The record is from RNAcentral. Lineage: Eukaryota; Metazoa; Chordata; Mammalia; Rodentia; Muridae.